Molecule: ribosomal RNA, 525 nt
Filed under: Ephippiger ephippiger (European bushcricket)
Lineage: Eukaryota; Metazoa; Arthropoda; Insecta; Orthoptera; Tettigoniidae
Description: partial 16S ribosomal RNA
Rfam family: Bacterial large subunit ribosomal RNA
Source: RNAcentral
GUCYCUUUGGGGGRAAUUAAGGUKGGGCCCCGCCCCCCCCGAARWUUAAAAGGGCCGCGGYAUCUUGACCGUGCAAAGGUAGCAUAAUCAUUAGUCUUUUAAUUGAAGGCUGGAAUGAAUGGUUUGACGAGGUAUUAACUGUCUCUAUAUAAUAAUGUGGAAUUACCCUUUUGRYUCAAAAGGCUUAAAUGAGUAUWAAAGACGAGAAGACCCUAUAGAGCUUUAUAUGGUUGUAAGUGGUAUAUUUAUUGGUUGUUUAAAAUUGUCAUUAGUAAUCAUAUUUUGUUGGGGUGACAUGAAGAUAAKCWUUACUCUUUAUAAUUUGGAACAUUGAUUUAUGAAUAAUUGAUCCACUUUUAGUGAUUAGAAGARAAAGUUACCUUAGGGAUAACAGCGUAAUUUUUUUUGAGAGUUCAUAUCGACAAAAAAAAUUGCGACCUCGAUGUUGGAUUAAGGAAUAUGAUCAGGUGUAGAAGUUUGAUUAAUAAUCUGUUCAACUUUUAAAUCCUUACAUGAUCUGANUUC